GUCACCCUGCAGAUUCCCUCCUUAAUGAAAAGUGAUUAACACAUAUUCACCACUUCUUGUCAAGACCUCAUAUACCUCUGCUUCUGUAGUCCCCACCAAUUUAAUAUGCACUUAACAACUAUCGUUGAUUUUCUGACCCAAGUGGUUUCUCUGGAGCAUUCUCAUGACAUCAGGAAAAUAAACACCUCUAGAGAUACAUAUACUCCCCAUCUUUGCAAGUAAAAUAAAUCACCAGGACAAAGCUAGAAUUGUCGAAAUGUACAAACUCAACAUGUUACUCCAAGUAAUCUGCCCCUCUUUGUUCACAUUUUGUUCAAUCUAUAUCCAUGAUCUGGGGCUGGGGCUCUGGUCCUCAGUAUACCUGCUAUCCUCUCAGUCCUGCUAAGAGCCUCUGCCCACACACAGUCAUACACGUAAUUCCAGGGCCCAGCUAAGUUGAAUAAACUGUGGCCACGCACCUGAUCCAUGUAGCUGCCUACCUACUGGUUGGACAAUCAGGGAAGGAAGGCCAGGCCCAAUGAGAUACCUGACUGGGCAAAUUUGACAAGGAAACUUGGAGUUAAUAUUUGCUAGUGCAAGAGCCAAAAUCAAGCAGGGAUUUGAAGUCACAAAUCAACAGGCCAAUAAUUAGCAGGAAGAGCUGCAGCAGGUGUGGAAUGCCCAAGUUGCUCCCGUGGCUGAGCAUGGAAACACAGAGGCAUGGACUCUACAGCUGAGCUGGCAAGGUUGGUG
Molecule: long non-coding RNA, 732 nt
Filed under: Marmota monax (woodchuck)
Lineage: Eukaryota; Metazoa; Chordata; Mammalia; Rodentia; Sciuridae
Source: RNAcentral